Molecule: long non-coding RNA, 157 nt
Organism: Thalassophryne amazonica
Lineage: Eukaryota; Metazoa; Chordata; Actinopteri; Batrachoidiformes; Batrachoididae
Exons: 4
Source: RefSeq, a predicted model, not a curated record
CACUGGCUGCAGAGGUUAGAAGAAAAGCCUUUGUUGUCAUUGUACGUGCAUACUUACAAUGAAAUGUGUCCCCUGCAUUUAACUAUCCUAAAUACAGUUAGACACAAUCCAACCACUCGGGGCAGUGUGUAGCCACAGUCCGGUGCCCAGGGACCAG